This 688-nucleotide long non-coding RNA is filed under the name Ovis aries (sheep). RNAcentral describes it as "lncRNA (ENSOARG00000026060.1)". Lineage: Eukaryota; Metazoa; Chordata; Mammalia; Artiodactyla; Bovidae. The record is from RNAcentral.
AUGAUUUGCAAAUCAGGCCUCCAGGAGCAUCCUGGUGUCUGCCAGGGUCUGCAGACCGGGUCCCACUCAUCCGGAAAUGAGUAUCUAGGGCCAGAGGGUCUGCUGUUCCGUUGCUUAGGAAACCACGUUUCCCCUCCCUGCUCAUCCCCGGGGGCCUCAGUGUCCUCAGCCAGGGCCCACCCCGUGGUCCGAUGCAGCGACUGUUCAUCUUCUGCGUGCUCAGAGCCCGUCUGCAGAAACACAAGACAGACCCAGUCAGAUCACCCUCAGCCCUCUCCGGGGGCUUCCCACGUCCUCACCGUGGCCUGCAGGGGCCUUCAUGGCCUGACGUCUGGCUCCUGGCCUCCCCUCCCUGCCCCUCACCCCCUUGCUGGCUCCAUCCCAGCCCCUGCUGUCUGCCAGGCAGGCACCCCAGGGCCUUGGCACUGGCUGUGUCAGGGACUUCCCUCACACCCUCUCACCAGAGAGCUCUUGGCCCUCCCCUUCUCUCCCCUCUUCCCCUCCUCUUCCCUUCUCUUUCUUCCCCCCCUUUUUAAAGAAAAUGUUUCUUUCUUUUUAUUUUUGGCUCUGCUGGGUCUUCACUGCUGCUCAGGCCUCUUUUCUAGCUGCGACGAGCAGCGGCUACUCUCUGAUUGGGGCGUGCAGGCUUCCCACUGUGGCGGCUCCUCUCGUUGCUGAUUUCUGCCAG